GUAGUUCUGUUAAGGCAAGAGUGUA
This 25-nucleotide non-coding RNA is filed under the name Rattus norvegicus (Norway rat). Lineage: Eukaryota; Metazoa; Chordata; Mammalia; Rodentia; Muridae. The record is from RNAcentral.